GAUCCUGGCCCAUAGCGAACGCUGGCGGCAGGCCUAAUACAUGCAAGUCGAGCGGUCCCUUCGGGGGCAGCGGCGGACGGGUGAGUAACGCGUGGGAACGUGCCCUUUGGUACGGAACAACUGAGGGAAACUUCAGCUAAUACCGUAUGUGCCCUUCGGGGGAAAGAUUUAUCGCCAUUGGAGCGGCCCGCGUUGGAUUAGGUAGUUGGUGAGGUAAAGGCUCACCAAGCCUACGAUCCAUAGCUGGUCUGAGAGGAUGAUCAGCCACACUGGGACUGAGACACGGCCCAGACUCCUACGGGAGGCAGCAGUAGGGAAUCUUGCGCAAUGGGCGAAAGCCUGACGCAGCCAUGCCGCGUGAAUGAUGAAGGUCUUAGGAUUGUAAAAUUCUUUCACCGGGGACGAUAAUGACGGUACCCGGAGAAGAAGCCCCGGCUAACUUCGUGCCAGCAGCCGCGGUAAUACGAAGGGGGCUAGCGUUGCUCGGAAUUACUGGGCGUAAAGGGAGCGUAUGCGGAUAGUUUAGUCAGAGGUGAAAAGCCCAGGGCUCACCCUUGUAAUUGCCUUUGAUACUGGCUAUCUUUGACUAUGGAAGAGGUAUGUGCAACUCCCAGUGUAGAGGUGAAUCUCGGAUAUAUUCCGAACACUGCCGAUGUCUAAUGCAAUUGCUGUUUCAUCUAUGAUGCUGAUGUCUCUAUGCUGGGGUGGAUGAUGAUUAAUGCCCUGGUUUUCAUCUCAUUCCUGAUGACUGCUAUGUUGUCGCAAGGUCAGCGUGUGUUGGGGUCCACAUAGGUCAUUCUUCUCCCGGUCUGGUGGAUAUCAGUUGUAAUAGAAAUAAAUCUCAUGUCUUGGUGUGGGACCCUCCCUUCCUCGGGGUACAUAGUGGUUCUACUACGUAAUAUGCAUUGUCAAAUUUUUAACCCUUUGUGUAUUACUCCUGGACCCAAAUAAAGCUUCCGGGUUCUCUCCUUUAAAGACAGUAUUCUAAAGUAA
RNAcentral lists this ribosomal RNA (993 nucleotides) under uncultured bacterium. RNAcentral describes it as "bacterial SSU rRNA". The stretch from base 1 to 741 matches the Rfam family "Bacterial small subunit ribosomal RNA". The record is from RNAcentral.